This is a long non-coding RNA of Mytilus californianus (California mussel), 7297 nucleotides long. RefSeq lists it as uncharacterized. Lineage: Eukaryota; Metazoa; Mollusca; Bivalvia; Mytilida; Mytilidae. The transcript is spliced from 11 exons. The record is from RefSeq and is a predicted model, not a curated record.
AAAUUUCAGAAAAUAAAUACAUGAUUUUGCUUUUAAAAUUGGGUACACCAAUUGCAAGACACAUUUUUCAAAUAAAUCUAGUUCUCAUGAAUAGGAGUUUUCAUUGUCCAUAAUUGUACAAUAUACUCUUUAUAAGUCUAUACGAAGUACAAGCUAGCAUUUAAAAUGCAUGUAAAUUAAUAAUUGAUCAGUUCUGCAAAAUUGUUUUACUGCUUUACAAAAUACAAAGGCCGCCACUUUUCAAUUUCAAAGUGUCGUUGAUUUUCUAGAAAUUACUAAACCACAAACAUUGAGGAUCGUUAACUAGCGAAGGCCGUUAUUGGACACACCUACUUAAAAUAAAACAUGCCUACUUUCUUUACUCUUCUUUGUUGGAGAUUGAAAAACACUGCAAUGUACGGGAUUGAAACAUAGUUUUAUCAACGAGCACUGCACAACAUGGCAAAACAGUUCAGAAGCAGAUGAUCAAUUGAAAUAGGCACAUUUAAAAGUUGUAUAUAUGUUACAAUAGAUAAUUGAGUUACAUGGACACAGCUAUGCAGCCAUUUAAUGAGAUAACAUGGUAUUCAGAAGUAAGAUUAUACCUAAUCCUGAUUGGUCGUUGUGUACCGCUAUAUGUUUUGUCUUAAGAUACUCCUUGCACUCUGCAUUCAACCAAAGCAAAAUUUUCCAUAGCUCUAAAAAAAACUAUAGUCUUUUCUAUGCUAUCACAAGAAACAUAUUUGCAGUGGGGAAUUGAAAGGCAAGGGAGGUGAGUAAAAUUUGCCUUUACAGAAAAGUCACUGGAAUAUGACAACUACCGAGGGAUGGUCUUGAUAAAUAUUGUUUUUAUAAUGUAUAUAGGAGGUCAGAUGUCCAUGACAACUACCGUGGGCUGGUCUUGAUAAAUGGUGUUUUUAUACUGUAUAUAGGUCAGAUGUCCAUGACAACUAUGGAGGGCUGGUUUUAAUAAAUGGUGCUUUUAUACUGUAUAUAGGUCAGAUGUCCAUGACAACUACCGAGAGCUGGUCUAGAUAAAUGGUGUUUUUAUACUGUAUAUAGGAGGUCAGAUGUCUAUGACAACUACUGAGGGCUGGUCUUGAUAAAUGGUGUUUUUGUACUGUAUAUAGGUCAGAUGUCCAUGACAACUACCGAGGGCUGGUCUUGACAAAUGGUGUUUUUAUACUGUAUAUAGGUCAGAUGUCCAUGACAACUACCUAGGGAAACUAUUAAACUAUUCCAAUAUGAUAUGUGUAAAAGAAUGCUUUGUAUGGGAAACAGAGACUGAUUUUCCAAGCUGGACACAAAUUAUAAUACAGAAUGGAAGAAAGCAAACAGAACCAAGAAAUACAAGUUCAUGUAUGAAUUGCCCCUCUAUGAAAAUCCAAAGAUGCAGGAAAAGAAAACCAUGAACAAGCUUCAAAAGAUAAAGAUGAUAAUGAUGAAUCAGAAUAGCUGAUAAUUAUAUUAUUUUUUUCAUGCCGGAAGAAGCGUUUUUAUUUUUUUUGCACAUGAGGAAGCUGGUGAAUUAUGUGCUGCUACAGAAGAGGAUAUAGUAAAUAUACUGAAGAGGAAACAUCCAAGCUAGUAGAUCUUUGUUGACUACACUUCUGAAAAUUUUAUAUGUUUACAGUUUCUGUAUCAUUUUAUUUUUAAGUUAAAUGGAUCAAAGUCUCUAUUGGAGGGGUUGCAAUAUUUGUGUCUAAUCAAUGUAGAAUGUUUACAAUGUAAUUGGAAAUACAUAUAAAGUAGAGUUGGUUUUUUUUGUAUUUGAGAAUAAUCAUAAGUAUUAUUUUUCUGCAGAUUUUAAUUAAUGCUAUGUAUAGCAGAAAUUAAAUAAAGCAAUUUCAAUAGAUAUAAGCACACAUGAAAGAAAUAUGUAGACAACAGUUAUUAUGAAACGACUAAUUACCAAAAAUGAUGUAGAAAUUGUGAGUGCUAGAUUAAUAGUGAUUACCAUACACUAAGUAUAAGUCGAAAUGUAUAUAUUUUCCUAUUUCAUUGUUUUUUAGAUUGAUAGUAGUUUCCUCAAAUGAAACAAAUAAUUACAGUCUUAUAAUUCUUUUUAGAUUGGAAUAUUUGGUUAUGAUUGCACAAUUUAGUCAUUUUUUCAUUAAAAAAAAUUAAGCUAGUUUUAUGGUAUACCUUAAAUGAUAUUGAUUUGUAAACCACAUAAUUAUAUAAGAGACAACAUUUUGAAAGCUACACGGGUUAUUCAGUGUGCACCACAUUUUUUAUGUUAUUUCUUCAUAGACAGAAAAAAUAUUACAGUCAUUCCUUAAAUAUGUUUUGGUUAACCAAAAUUGUCUAAAAAAAAUUGAUGAUACUAGCAGUCUAAAAAUUCUUUUGAGAUAAAAUUAUCUGAUUAUAAUUGAACACUGAAGUAACUUUUUCAUUGAGUUGUUCUUUUCUUUUUUGCUAGAACUUGGGUUUUUUUUUUAUUGUUUCACAUAUUAUAUUUUAUCAAUUUUGAGAACAUUUGUUUUCAAUUUUAUAGAAUAUAUUCGUGUAUAAAAUGUACUGGUACUUAGUGUGAUAAACCACUAAGGUGAAGCACAGGUUUAAGAAUUUAUAAAAGUUAGAAUUUUCACUCCUAACUAAAUUCCAAAAGUCACCUUUAAAAAUUUCUUUAACUUUUUUCAAAUCAUCUUGGAUUUUCAUAAAAAAUCUGCAGCUAUCUCAAUUAUAUAUUGAUCUUACAAAAUGCAAAGUUAUUUGGUAGUUUGUUUUAUUACUGUCAAAUUUAAGGAUUUAAUCAAUGGGUAAAAAAGCUGUAAUUUUCAUUUCGGACAAAAUUUAGAUAGUCAACUUUAAAAAGUUCUGUAACUUUUUCAAAUGAUUUUGAAUUUUCAUAAUACUCUUCAGCUAUCUCAAUUAUAUAUUGAUCUUACAAAAUGCCAGGUUAUUUGGUAGUUUGUUUUAUUACUGUCAAAUUUAAGGAUUUAAUCAAUAGGUAAAAAAGCUGGAAUUUUCAUGUCGGACAAAAUUUAGAUAGUCAACUUUAAAAAGUUCUGUUACUUUUUCAAACCAACUUUGAUUUUCAUAAUACUCUUCAACUAUCUCAAUUAUAUAUUGAUCUUACAAAAUGCCAGGUUUUUUGGUAGUUUGUUUUAUUACUGUCAAAUUUAAGGAUUUAAUCAAUAGGUAAAAAAGCUGGAAUUUUCAUGUCGGACAAAAUUUAGAUAGUCAACUUUAAAAAUUUCUUUAACUUUUUCAAAUGAUUUUGGAUUUUAAUAAUAAUCUUCAGUUAUCUUAAUUAUAUAUUGAUCUUACAUAAUGCCAGGUUAUUUGGUAGUUUAUUUAUUACUGUCAAAUGUUAGGAUUUAAUCAAUAAGUAAAAAAGCUAGAAAUUUCAUGUCAGACAAAAUUUAGAUAGUCAACUUUAAAAAUAUCUGUAACUUUUUCAAAUGAACUUGGAUUUCCAUAAACUCCACAGUUAUCUCAAUUAAAUACUAAUCUUAGAAAAUGCCAGGUUAUUUGGUAGUUUGGUAUAUUGGUGUCAAAUUAAAGGAUUUAAUUAAUAGACAAAAUUUAGAUAAUCAACUUUAAAAAGUGUUAUUACCUUUUUAAAUCAACUUGGAUUUUCAUAAUACUCUUCAGUUAUCUCAAUUAUAUAUUGAUCUUACAAAAUGCCAGGUUAUUUGGUAGUUUGUUUUAUUACUGUCAAAUUUAAGGAUUUAAUCAAUAGGUAAAAAAGCUAGAAAUUUCAUGUCGGACAAAAUUUAGAUAGUCAACUUUAAAAAGUUCUGUUACUUUUUCAAACCAACUUGGAUUGUCAUAAUACUCUUCAGCUAUCUCAAUCAUAUAUUGAUCUUACAAAAUGACAGGUUAUUUGGUAGUUUGUUUUAUUACUGUCAAAUUUAAGGAUUUAAUCAAUAGGUAAAAAAGCUGGAAUUUUCAUGUCGGACAAAAUUUAGAUAGUCAACUUUAAAAAGUUCUGUUACUUUUUCAAACCAACUUUGAUUUUCAUAAUACUCUUCAACUAUCUCAAUUAUAUAUUGAUCUUACAAAAUGCCAGGUUAUUUGGUAGUUUAUUUAUUACUGUCAAAUGUUAGGAUUUAAUCAAUAAGUAAAAAAGCUGGAAUUUUCAUGUCGGACAAAAUUUAGAUAGUCAACUUUAAAAAGUUCUGUUACUUUUUCAAACCAACUUGGAUUUUCAUAAUACUCUUCAGCUAUCUCAAUUAUAUAUUGAUCUUACAAAAUGACAGGUUAUUUGGUAGUUUGGUAUAUUGGUGUCAAAUUAAAGGAUUUAAUUAAUAGACAAAAUUUAGAUAAUCAACUUUAAAAAGUGUUAUUACCUUUUCAAACCAACUUGGAUUUUCAUAAUACUCUUCAGCUAUCUCAAUUAUAUAUUGAUCUUACAAAAUGUCAGGUUAUUUGGUAGUUUGAAUUAUUGCUGUCAAAUUUAAGGAUUUAAUCAAUAGGUAAAAAAGCUGGAACUUUCAUGUCGGACAAAAUUUAGAUAGUCAACUUUAAAAAUUUCUUUAACUUUUUCAAAUGAUUUUGGAUUUUAAUAAUACUCUUCAGUUAUCUUAAUUAUAUAUUGAUCUUACAAAAUGCCAGGUUAUUUGGUUGUUUGUUUUAUUACUGUCAAAUUUAAGGAUUUAAUCAAUAGGUAAAAAAGCUGGAAUUUUCAUGUCAGACAAAAUGUAGAUAGUCAACUUUAAAAAGUUCUAUAACUUUUUCAAAUCAACUUGGUUUUUGAAAAAACUUUACAGCUAUCUCAGUUGUAAAUUGAUCUUACAAAAUUCCAAGUUAUUUGAUUCAUUGCUGUCAAAUUUAAGGAUUUAGUUAAUUGAAUUAAAUAUGCUAUGAGUUAGGCUAAAAUGAUGUAAAGGUUUUUAACCUCGCUACGCUCUGAUGUAUUCAAUUUUAUGGAAUUAUGCCCAUAUGCUUUUGAAAAAUCCUGGAUCCGCCCCUAAAGAUAAGAGUACAUUUGAAAAUCCCUCCCUAUUAUUAUAGCACAAUAAGAACAAAGAGAUUUUGCCUUUGUCAUGUGUUAAUUUAAAUGUAAACUUUUUACUUUUUUUUGGGUGAAUUUUCUCUAAGCAUUUCUGUCCAAAUUCUUCCUAGUUUAAUUAAAUGGAAUAUAUUUCAUUGUUUCCUUAUGAAACUCUGCAGGGAGGUAAUGUUUAACAGAUUUAAUGUAUAGUAUGAUUUAUUUAUAGUUUUUUGGGGCAACAUUUGGAUUAAACCCAAUCAAUAUCAUUUAGUGGGAUUUUUUACAAUGAAGCUGGUUUCCAUUGAUUUUUUUAUGAACAGAUCUUAUUUGAUUAUUCAACCCCUUCUUAGUAGCUUUUACAAUUACAAAGUUGAAAUGUUUCACUAAUUAAACUAAUAUUCAUAAUCAAAGGAGAAGUUUUAAUUUGGCCACAAUUUAUGUCAAAAUUUACUUAUAUAUUGAAUUUAAUACCCAUAAAUUGAGAAAAUAAUCUUAAAUGAAAUGAACAUGUAUCAUAUAUGUAUUCCUUCAAACAUCAUUCUGCAAGGAGUAAAUUCAAUAAAUCCCAAACAUUGAACCUAUUUUUGUUAAAAAAUUUUCAACAUUUGACUUGCAUAUCUAGUUUGUCAGAAAAUGUUCUCUUUAUUUCCAAUUUCUUUUUUUGUUUGAAAUCAAGCAAAUUUUGUUAAAUUAAAUAAAAAUUCCUAAUUUUAUCCAAUUUUGGUGUCUAUUUCAAAAAGUUCUACAAAAAGCAUUCUAUUUCACUUUUUAUGCCCCCGUAGUAGUGGAAGGGGCAUUAACUUUUACCCUUGUCUGUCUGUGCGUCCGUACGUCCCAAAAUUGGUUUCCGUUCUGUAACUUUAGUUCGCCUCAACCAAAUGUUGUAAAACUUAUACACAAUGCUUAUUACCACAAAACACAGAUCAAGUUUAAAUUUGGGUGGCGUCAACCGUUCUAGAGUUAUUCCCCUUUACAAAUGGAAAAAUUGCUGUGUUUUUUGUUUCUGUUCUCUAACUUAAGUUUGCCUUAACCAAAUGUUAUGAAACUUAUAUAUACACAAAGCUUAUUAACACAAAACACAGAUCAAGUUUGAAUUUGGGUGGCGUAACUUUUACCGUUCUAGAGUUAUGCCCUUUACGAAUUGAAAAAUUGCUGAUUUUUUUGUUUCCAUUCUCUAACUUAAGUUUGCCUCAACCAAACGUUAAGGAAACUUAUACUCAAAGCUUAUUACCACCAAACACAGAUCAAGUUUGAAUUUAGGUGGUGUCACUUUUACCUUUCUUGAGUUAUGCCCCUUUACAAAUGGAAAAAUUGAUGAAUUUUUUGUUUCCAUUCUCUAACUUAAGUUUGCCUCAACCAAAUGUUAUGAAACUUAUACACAAUGCUUAUUACCACAAAACUCAGAUCAAGUACAAAUUUGGGUAGCCUCACUUUUGCUGUUCUUGAGUUAUGUCCCUAUAUACUGUUAUAUGCAAGUGGGGGCAUCAUCUGUGUCCCAUGGACACAUUCCCAAUUUAUUCACAUAUGUGUUUUUUCUAAAACUUGAAACGCUUUUCAUUUUGAAAUAUUGGACUUGCUAUUGAGGCCCUAAUCAAGCACUUAAACUUUCCUUUUAGAAAAGAAUAUGAUUUAUAUAAACCUAUGCAAUAUAAAUAUAAACACUGGUCCUGCUCCUAUAUAAGAUAUACAUGAUAUAACUUAAUCUUACAUGCGUUUUAUAAAGCUAAGGUGAGAGGUAGAAUUAGAAAUAUACUUAUGUAUGAUAUUGGAUAAACACACUGAUAAAGGUGAAUAGCUUGAAUGUACAUAUUUUCAAAUUUAUAAAUUUAAAAUGUCACCUUAUAAAAUGUAUUCACUGUUUGAUCUAUUGAAUAUAUGACUAUAAACACAGUUAAAAAUUAUGCUGUUCUCUUAUUGAAAAGAUGUUAUUUAUAUUCUCUGUCUUACACAUGAAUUACAUACUACUCUCAAAUUUGCAUACUUCAUUAAAGAUCUAGACCAAUUGUUAUCUGCUAUUUUAAAAUCCAAGAUUGAGGAAGACACCCGAGCUACCUUAAGAUGUGAAAUUCUAAGAUAUAUUCCAAAUUAAAAUUUUGACUAUGAUAUCACAGCUCACUACAUGGAAAUGUAAUCUUGUGAAACAUACAUUAUCAGGCAAGCAAAUCUGGUUUUGAUAGUUAAAUAAAGUGGUGGUCAAAUUUAUAUGAAAAUUAAUAAAAAUGUGACUUAUCUUUUUAUACUCGAAAUUUAUGUAACAAAGUAUGGUUGUCAUCUCAAUAUCGGACAGUAAUGAAUGACUGAAUAUUAUUGUGCAAAUAUGGCAUGGAGUUUAUUUUCUUCCAUGCUAAUUGAAUAAAAAAGGUAUAGUCAACUUUC